GAAACUGCGAAUGGCUCAUUACAACAGUUAUAGUUUCUUUGGUAUUCGUUUUCCAUGGAUAACCGUGCUAAUUGUAGGGCUAAUACAAGUUCGAGGCCUUUUUGGCGGCGUUUAUUAGUUCUCAAACCUUCCCUUUUGGUUUUCGGUGAUUCAUAAUAAACUUGCGAAUCGCUUUUUGCGAUGGUCCAUUCAAGUUUCUGACCCAUCAGCUUGACGGUAGGGUAUUGGCCUACCGAGGCAGCAACGGGUAACGGGGAAUUAGGGUUCGAUUCCGGAGAGGGAGCCUGAGAAACGGCUACCACAUCUAAGGAAGGCAGCAGGCGCGCAAAUUACCCAACCCUGACACAGGGAGGUAGUGACAAGAAAUAACAAUACAGGGCAAUUGUCUUGUAAUUGGAAUGAUGGUGACCUAAACCCUCACCAGAGUAACAAUUGGAGGGCAAGUCUGGUGCCAGCAGCCGCGGUAAUUCCAGCUCCAAUAGCGUAUAUUAAACUUGUUGCAGUUAAAAAGCUCGUAGUUGAAUUUCUGCGUUAUCGUUUUCGUUGCUUUUGCUUCGUUUCGAUUUCGCUUUUGGGGGUUUCCCCUUUUUACUUUGAGAAAAUUAGAGUGUUUCAAGCAGACUUUUGUCUUGAAUACUUCAGCAUGGAAUAAUAGAGUAGGACUUUGGUUCUAUUUUGUUGGUUUAAGAGCCUUAGUAAUGGUUAAUAGGAACGGUUGGGGGCAUUCGUAUUUAACUGUCAGAGGUGAAAUUCUUAGAUUUGUUAAAGACGAACUACUGUGAAAGCAUUUGCCAAGGACGUUUUCAUUAAUCAAGAACGAAAGUUAGGGGAUCGAAGACGAUCAGAUACCGUCGUAGUCCUAACCAUAAACUAUGGCG
RNAcentral lists this ribosomal RNA (878 nucleotides) under Babesia sp. AKT7. Its description in RNAcentral is "SSU rRNA". It matches the Rfam family "Eukaryotic small subunit ribosomal RNA", at positions 83 to 1044 of the family's 1831-position model. Lineage: Eukaryota; Apicomplexa; Aconoidasida; Piroplasmida; Babesiidae. The record is from RNAcentral.